GACGAACGCUGGCGGCGUGCUUAACACAUGCAAGUCGAACGGUGAACCAGGGCUUGCCCUGGGGAUCAGUGGCGAACGGGUGAGUAACACGUGGGCACCCUGCCCCUGACUCUGGGAUAACUUCGGGAAACCGAAGCUAAUACCGGAUAUGACCUCAGAGGGCAUCCUCAGAGGUGGAAAGCUCCGACGGUCAAGGAUGGGCUCGCGGCCUAUCAGCUUGUUGGUGGGGUAACGGCCCACCAAGGCGACGACGGGUAGCCGGCCUGAGAGGGCGACCGGCCACACUGGGACUGGGAUACGGCCCAGACUCCUACUGGAGGCAGCAGUGGGGAAUAUUGCACAAUGGGCGAAAGCCUGAUGCAGCAACGCCGCGUGCGGGAUGACGGCCUUCGGGUUGUAAACCGCUUUCAGCAGGGACGAAGCUUUUGUGACGGUACCUGCAGAAGAAGCACCGGCUAACUACGUGCCAGCCGCCGCCGUAA
This 482-nucleotide ribosomal RNA is filed under the name uncultured bacterium. Its description in RNAcentral is "partial 16S ribosomal RNA". It matches the Rfam family "Bacterial small subunit ribosomal RNA", at positions 28 to 523 of the family's 1533-position model. The record is from RNAcentral.